Molecule: long non-coding RNA, 347 nt
Organism: Corvus hawaiiensis (hawaiian crow)
Lineage: Eukaryota; Metazoa; Chordata; Aves; Passeriformes; Corvidae
Exons: 3
Source: RefSeq, a predicted model, not a curated record
CCGGGGUAACCGCAGGGUCGGAGGAGGGGUGGCCGAUGCCGCGCCGCGCAGGCGUGGAAGCGAGGGCUCCCGAACGCGGAAGUAAGGCCGGGAUGGAAGCGGCGGGAGUGAUGACGUCAGCAGCAGGCGCCGCCGUUCAAACGCGGAAGCGGCCGCGAAUCCGGGCCGCAUGGGGAUAGCGGGAGGGCCAGAUGGAAGCUCCGGGACCGCCCCUGGCCGCGCGCAUGGCUCAUCUGAUGGGAGGACCCCAGGCUCGGGAGGUGGUCCACUUGCAGGAUGUCCUGGCCCUGGAUGCUGGAGGGUGCAAGCCUAAGGUGCUGCUGCCGCCCUGGGCGUGCCAAGGGACA